AGCAAACCAGGGAUGUAACUCUUGGAAAUAUCUCCACUCUGCCGCAUCUGAAGGAUGAUUCAUUUCUCCCUCCUUUGAUUGGUGCUCAGCAUGCCAUCGCAUUGCUGCAGCUGUCUUGUGGCUCUGAUACAUUCUUUUUAACCGGUCUCAAAUAGGUAGAUAC
RNAcentral lists this small RNA (163 nucleotides) under Arabidopsis thaliana (thale cress). Its description in RNAcentral is "ATSL208690". Lineage: Eukaryota; Viridiplantae; Streptophyta; Magnoliopsida; Brassicales; Brassicaceae. The record is from RNAcentral.